CUUAAAAAGCUCUAAGUUUGGCUUCUACUGUUAAUCAGCAGCAAAUCGGAGUAGAGCACAGUCCUUGGUGUUCCUCAGUGUCUGUAACAGAAAAUUUGAGCAAGCCUAAAUGGAUGAGUGUUUUGUUUCUAAACUAAGUAUGGCAUGACUACUGUGGGAUUGUUGUUUCAUUACAUUACAGAUAUAUUGUUCAAAUCAUAUUUGUUUUUAAUCUCUGAGCACAUUGUUAAAUGUAACCCAACCAUAUCUGAACAUUUUUCAUUUUUACUGGUAUUUCAUUCUAAGCAUUUAUCUAGUUUAUAUGACUAACUAUGCUACCAAUAACUACUUCCCCCAGAGAGUAGUAUUAAAUGUUUUUGUUUGUUUGUUUGUUUGUUUUCCACGAGAAGAAAAAUUACUGUAAAAAUGGAGAACUCUUUUCUUGCAUUGUGUCUCCCUGCCAGACUGGUCUGGAGUAAUGUGCAAUAGAGUUCACACUGUCUAAUUAUGAAACUUGUGUUUUAUUCUAAGACAACACUGCUAUUAAAACUCCACCUGUCCAGUAAGUGCAAUAAACAUAUUAGUGAGUUUAAUCCUCUCAAGCACUGGGAGUUCAUAACUCAACAGUGACCACAUGGAUCAUUAGAUGCAAAUGAGUCAAAAUAAUUCAGCAACGUGCAUGCCUUCAUCAUAUCUGGUGAAAAUUGCUGUUUGAAUGUGAGUCUGCUGAGUUUUGUGCUAUGUCAUUUGAAGACUGAAAAUACCUGUACCAUGAAAUGCACAUUCUUCCUUUUAAAAAAAUGGAGGAGGAAAUCUUUGCAGUGUUUUAUCAUAACUCAGUCUUAACUUCUGAUCCCCUGCUUUUACCACCACAGUGCAUUUUUUCUUCAAACCAAUACAAGUAAAAGUCACAGUCUAUCUCUUGUUUCUGAUGUUAUGACAAACUGCAGGGGAGGCCAAUUAUUCUGUCUUCUUUUAGUGAGUAGUAGCUGAAGAAGGAAUUUCACCCUAUGUGUUUUUUCACUGGAACCUCCAGAUGGUCUGGUGUUACAGUGCUGCAUCCGACGCACUGACAAAUAGGCUGUCAGGGAAGAUCUUUCCUGUAAUGUACACUGUGAAACUAAACCAUCUAUUUGUUGAUAUACAUUGUUUGAAGUGUGUGCAGUUUGCUGUGAUGCAUCCUGAGAAGGUGACAUGUCUUUGUCUCUAUGUGAGUUCAGUACUUGAUUGAAGUAAAACUGAUGUUCCAUAUACUGAAUUGCCAAAUUAAGUUAUGUGCCAGAAAACAUCUGUUUUCUUUUAUAUAGUGACAUUUGCUCUGUGUAGCUUAUUGAUAGGUGUUUUUUUUUUUUUUUUUUUUAAGCACGGGUUUCAAUCCAACGUAAAUGAAGAAAUGAAGUAGCCCAUCAAAUAUUGGUCAUCUAUUACUAAACUAAAAGAAUACACUGAAAAAAAUGUGAUAAAUGUUUAAUAAUAAAAGAGGAAGAUCCCAAAGGACAAUUUAUUAGGUGGCUUGUAGAAAUGAUAUUCAGAUCUUAAUGAUAUUGAAGGGUAUUACAACACUGUUCCUACUUGACUAAGACUUGUAAUUCAGAGGCCUAGGUAAAGUGGAGCAAUUGAAGUCUUAUUCCAGUAUGGUGUCCCAUCACUUGGCUGUAUUUUUGGUAGAACAUCACUUUAAAUGACUGAUUUUCUCUCAGAUUGCUAUUGCUGUUGAUUUUGAUCUGAGACGUCAUCAUGUUGCUGAAUAAUCUGCAUGUUGAAAAUUAAUAAGUUGUAACAAACCACAUUCUUUUUUCUUGAUUUUAUUGUUUUAAAAUCACUCCUACCUUAGUGUGAUAAGUAUGGGGCUACAUUUAAACUCACAGAGUUUCAAGUUAUAUUUGUUGACACAUAAUUUGGUUUUCAAACUACUUAAAUCAUAAUCCUCGAAUGUAUAGUUGAAGGACUGAAGGAGAAGACCAUUUACUGGUGAUAGGUGUACACUUCUUUUAUGUGUGCAGUGUUCUUCCAAAAAAGAUGUGUACCUUGAAAAGGUAAAAUAAACCGUAGAAGUUUUCACGAAAAGCAGUCUUCCACUACUCUCUUUGACAGUUUGUAUAUGGAAGGGAGGUUAUUGAAUUUUCAAGUUUAAGAAUGUCAGACUCAGAGUAGAUGUAGUCCAAUAGAAGCUAAAUACUACCCUCGUCUACAUAAGAACUGACCAGCUUUUCCCAUGAAGUGGUUCUAACACUUCAUUUCACUCACUGUACAAAUGAAAGAAAUGUAAACCCUAAUUUCUCAAGGUAUUUUUAAUUAUGUUUGAAGCAAUUAAGUAGUUUCAGAAGUCAUUGUCCUGAAUAGCGUUGCAUAGAAUCCUACAGUUUUCCAGGUUAGCUUAUACAGCUUAUUUCUGUAUUUACAGUUCGUUUUAUAUCCUUUCUACUAGUUAGGAACAGAGAUUUCUAAAUAGACCUUGCAUGGCUUAUAAGAUGAACAGAUCAUCUUGAAUGCAAUCACACAGCACAUGCAGGACAACUGGGGAUCAGGCCCAGCCAACAUGUGCUCAUGAAAAGCAGGUCUUGCUUGACGAAGCUGACCUCCUUCUAUGAUCACGUGACCCACCUAGUGGAUGAGGGAAAGGCUGUUGAUGUAGUCUACCUAGACUUUAGCAAAACCUUUGACACUGUCUCCCACAAUAUUCCCUUGGAGAAACUGGAAGCCUGUGUCUUGGUCAGGUACAGUCUUAGCUGGGUAAAGAGCUAGCUGGAUAGUCGAACCCAGAGAGUGGUGGUGAAUAGAGUUAAAUCCAGCUGGCAACUGGUCAUGAGUGGUGUGCCCCAGGAGUCGGUGUUGGGGCCCAUCCUGUUUAAUAUCUUUGUUGAUGAUUUGGGUGAGGGAAUUGAGGUUACAAGUGUAAUUAGUAAUAGGACUAGAGGGAAUUGUUCACAAGAUGUGCCAGGAGAGGUUCAGGUAGGAUAUUAGGAGAAAUUUAUUUUCAGAAGGAGUGGUUAGGCAUUGGAACAGGCUGCCCAGAGAGAUGUUUAAGUCACAGAACCUGUAUGUGUUCAAGAAACAUUUGGAUGUUGUACUGAGGUACGUGGUUUAGUAGGGAAAUACUGGUGGUAGGUGGAUGGUUGGACUAGAUGAUCUUAGAGGUGUUUUCCAUCCUUAAUGAUUCUAUGAUUCCAUGUUCUGUAACAUGUUCAAUGCAGAUUUAAAAUGUUUUCCCUUGCAUCAGUGCUUUUGACACAACUUUUUGCUGUUCCUUUUUUUUUCCUCUCUGAUUUUGCUUAAUUAAUAAUUAAUUGUUACAGACUGGUUCUGCUACAAUUUGGUAUUUGAUGCUUUGGAUUCCAGAUCCAUUAACCUCAAUGUAUAGGCCAACAGCAAGUAAAUUAGUGAGACUUACCGUGCAGUAUUUUCAAAAGGAAACAAAUACAAGUACUUCGAGUACUUAAGAAAGGCUUCUAAGGAAACAGACAAAGAGAAACAACGUUUGAAGGAGUUUUUAAACCAUGAUAUUAAAGGAGAAAGCAAAGCUGUGAAAUGUUAUUGUAAUUCAGAUUUGGACAGUGUCAGAUUCAGCAUCAGUACUGACUUUUCUGAGUGGACUAUCACACAUUAAAGGUAUAUUUAAAUACUAUUUGUCUGGUUUUCACUUGACAUUUCUAAUGGAAAAAAUAAUAAAGUACUGCUUAGUUUAAUUAAUUUUUCUUUUAAAUAACACAUAUUCGUAGAAUCAUAGAACAAUUAAGGUUGGAAAAGACCACUCAGAUCAUCUAGUCCAACAAUCAAGCCAUCUGAAAUGACUUGAAUUUUUAAAAAUGCUGACUAUUUGGUAUUUGAUUAAUCUUUGCCCAUUUGAUUGGCCUACUGGUCAGAACAUGUGCAGUUUUGAUAUUCAACAAAAUUGUGUUUUAUUUCAAUAUGCAACUUGUCUCAACAUGGAUGAAAGAAGCUACUGUGAAGGGCCUUCCUACAGUGUUAGACGCGGUAUUAUUUUUUACUCACCUGGACUGCAAUGGGUAGCCCUGACUGCUCUUAAAUACCAGCAGUGUCUCACUAGGAGAUCUUGGAUAUUUUAUGAUGAAAUGGUGAUAAAAAUUUUUGUAUUUGGUCUUACCGUAGAAAAUUCUAUCUGGAUACAUACUUAGCUAUGGUGAUGGCUUGCAUCACAUAUCCACAGAUGUUUUUGUAUAAAUAUGCACAAAUGAAUGAAUAUCCUUUUAUACAGGCAAGAAUACAUGCAUACCUACAGAUGAUAUAACAUACAUCUCCAUAAUGCAUAUUUCUGCCCUUAAUAGGUAUUAAAUGUUCUAUGUCUAAAAGCAGUUGAGGUCUCCUAUAGGGAGAGUUUAAAUAUCUCCUCUCAGGGAAUAUGCAAUUAUAUCUGAAUAUGUAUGUCUUUAUUUGUGAGAAUUUGUGGCAUUCUGUUCCGUAGUGAUCUGUAUGUGUGUGUGUUUUCAUGCUGGUGUUUGUGAGAAAAUCGUCUAUGUGUGACAAGAAAUAAAAAACAUUCUCCUGCUCACAUUGUGAAUGCUUAUGAAACUGCUGUUAAACAGACAGUGGAAAAUUAUUUGGCUGGAAAUAUUUGCACAUUAUGUGAACAAAAAUUUUAAAAAAUUCUGAUAAAAUUGCUUUUUGAAGCAAUGAAUAUUAAAGCACAGAAACUCAGAAGAGUUUUGUUUAUUUUAUCAAGCUAAAAUAUUAACAGUUAUAUAUUUAAUAUUGAUCUAAUUUGUUUCUCUGAUAACAUGUACAUUGGGGUAAUAAAUUUAAUCAAAUAACAGAAUGUGAUAUUUCACAUAUGCAAACACACAAUAUAAAAAUUAUAUUUCCAUUUUGUUAGUCAAAACUAUUACUUAGUGGAAACUGAGUUUCAGAAUAGGAUAAGGAGUUGUAUUUUGUUGUCAUUAAAUAGGAAGUAAUUUGACUUGUACACUCAAAGUAAUCUCUCUAGUCAAUCAUAACAUAGAUUUCAGGGCUUAUUUAACAGCUGCUUCCAAGGUAUGUAUUACUUCAACUUUGAAAAUCAUUCUUUUUGGUGUUUUAAGAUAAUUACAGCAUAUUGAAUGUACGUUUUGGACAUGAUCUCUCAUUGCUCAUUUCUGUUGUGUUACAAGUUGAUGAAAAGUAAACAGCUUUUUGAUGCAAAGUCUAAAAUUUUGAUGUAGUGUACAGCUGUUCAGGAAUGCUUAGUUAGAAUACUUUUAUAACAAAAAGUGUUAUCUAGGCAAAAUUGAAACCUUUUGUACAAUUUUUUUAAUGAAAAAUAGAUUUAGUUUCUAGCCAUAUCUGACACAGUAAUGAUGUGAAAUAUAAUUUCUCUAUGCCUGUUGCACUGCCAUCAUGUUUCUUCCUGAUUAAAGUGAUUCUGGUCUCAUGAUGCUGUAAAAUGCUGCAGUCAAUUUUAUUUUCUUCAAAGAAAACAACUCUGUGAAAACAUUAGCACAUACAUUUCAUGAAAUUAAUUGGAGAUUUAGUUUUGAUGAGAGACUGCUAAGCAGAGGAAAGAUUGUACAUGAUGAUAUUGCUCAAAUUCCUUUAUGGAAUAAAAAAAAAAGCCAUACAGGUUUGUUAAUGAGGUCAAAUUUCAAUCAAAACCAAACAAUUUAUUAUUAUAUGAAAUGCACAAACAUGAGCUGAACUGUAAAGGAGGCUUUUUUUUUUCUUUCCUGUUUUUUAAUAUGUAUACAGCACCUUUUUUUUUUUUUUUUUUAAUGAGCAGCUUCAGCUGCAGUUGCUAAAACCAAAGAUAUUGAUUUUAUUACAAACCAGAUAGUUUUUAUGAACAUCUGUCUUUCAUAAACACCAUGGAUGUUUGGUAAAAUAUUCUUGCAGCUGAAAAGGGAUAAACCAGGUGAGCUAUUAUGCAAGUGAAAUGGAAGAUUAUGAUACUGGAAUCUCACCUAAUUUCACCUCCUUCCCCUCCCUAUCACCCCUUUUUCAGUCUCUUUUUAGGGAAAUUAAAAAUCUGUGGAUGUCCAAGGUUGCAAAGUUCUGAGCUUAUGCUGAACCUUUUGCUGAUUAAAAUUUUGGGUUAUGUUUUGUUUCUCUUGAAAGAAAAAGCCCCAUACUUAUAAGCAUGCUGUUAGCUUUAUUCCUCAUAACGAAAGCUUCACCUAAAGAUGCCUCUUAAAAAAAAAAAAAUCUAUUUAAGUAAUUAAAUAUCAAUGUUCACAGAAUGCUACAGGUUUUUAAAAAGUAUGAUUCUGCUGAAUAAAAACUGACAUAUGUAAAAACUAAUUUUUCAAAAUAAAACAUUUGAAAAUGAUGAGAAAAUGUCUUACGGUUCUACUGGAGUUUCUUACAUUUGUUACAGCAACACAUGGCUCACUUGGGAAAUGCUGAGCUGGCCUGACAUUUUCUAUCCAAUACAACUUUUUAUCCAUCUGUUUUCAUAUAAAUUAUUUUUUCAUUUCUGCAUUCUAGAAGGGGGAUAAAAAUGAUUCUGAAAAACAGAAAAGCAGCUUAUGCUUUUAUAUGGAGAUAUUGCAAGUGGCAUCAUAAUAUAUGCUUUAGAACUGCAUCUUUUUCUGUAUUAAAGUGUUGAGUAAAAGGCUGGGGAGAAAAUGUCAGACAUAGUGAAGAAAGAUAUGGUUUAGUUUAAAUCGUACACUGAAGGAAGUGAAAAUAUGACUUAAGCCAAAAUAAGACAUGCUAAUAUGUGCUCCUUCAUGACACAUUUCCUCUGCAUCACUUUCUGCUGCUUGAAUCUGAUUCUGCAAGACCUUGCACACAUGAAUAGUCUCACUAAACAUGACAGGACUGCUGGAAGAGUUGGCAGGUCUGGAGCCAGAAUGUGUCACAGUUACAUGACACCACAGUGAAACCAGCUGAGUAUCAAGGGAUAUUGAUAGUUGAGAACUAAAAACCUUUUUUCCAGGUUGCUUUCAAACUGUUUUGUGUGUUUUAAACAUAUUACCUUUUUUCAUAAGUGCUUCAUAAAUGAAGAAUACUGCUUUCUUCUCCACCUGCCUCUGCUUUCUUCCUCUCUUUUCUUCAGGAAAACAAAAAAUAGAAGGAAAAGUAUAUCAUGUACCAUCUUUGUUUCUAUAUAUUCAGCAAAUAAGACAGUAAAAAAAAUUGGAGAUUUUGUGUAUUAAAUUGACUAAACUAUAUCAGGAAAUCUAAAUUGCUUUAUCUCAAGCAAGUCCAACAACAACUAUUACAGAACUGUUUAGUGGUGCAUCCCUGCAUGCUUAUUGAACAUCUUCACUGUAAUCAUGUCAUAGAAUCAUAGAAUAAUAGAAUGGAUUAGUCUGGAGAGCACUUCAAAGAUCAUCUAGUUCCAGCCACCCCUGCAAUGAAUAGAGCUGCCCCCCA
RNAcentral lists this long non-coding RNA (7287 nucleotides) under Gallus gallus (chicken). RNAcentral describes it as "lncRNA (ENSGALG00010016413.1)". The record is from RNAcentral. Lineage: Eukaryota; Metazoa; Chordata; Aves; Galliformes; Phasianidae.